Molecule: ribosomal RNA, 468 nt
Filed under: uncultured bacterium
Lineage: Bacteria
Description: partial 16S ribosomal RNA
Rfam family: Bacterial small subunit ribosomal RNA
Source: RNAcentral
GACGAACGCUGGCGGCGUGCUUAACACAUGCCAGUCGAACGGAAAGGCCCUGCUUUUGUGGGGUGCUCGAGUGGCGAACGGGUGAGUAACACGUGAGUAACCUGCCCUUGACUUUGGGAUAACUUCAGGAAACUGGGGCUAAUACCGGAUACGAGCUCCUGCGGCAUGGUGGGGAUUGGAAAGUUUCGUCGGUUGGGGAUGGACUCGCGGCUUAUCAGCUUGUUGGUGGGGUAGUGGCUUACCAAGGCUUUGACGGGUAGCCGGCCUGAGAGGGUGACCGGCCACAUUGGGACUGAGACACGGCCCAGACUCCUACGGGAGGCAGCAGUGGGGAAUAUUGCACAAUGGGCGGAAGCCUGAUGCAGCAACGCCGCGUGCGGGAUGACGGCCUUCGGGUUGUAAACCGCUUUCGCCUGUGACGAAGCGUGAGUGACGGUAAUUGGUAAAGAAGCACCGGCUAACUACGUG